GUCUCAUCACAUAGGCAGUGGGAAGAGUGUAAUAGCUGCUUCGGGGAGUGGAAGAGGCUGAAAGGAAGACAAAGAGUUAAGAUGGAGAAACAAGAUGGUAGUGGUGGAGAGAACCAGUGAAGGAGAAGGUUAAGGUGGUGCUGAGAAGGAAUAGAGAGAUUUUUCUUCUCCUUAAGAGAAGCAGAGGAAAGAAUCCUGCUGAUGACAAUAUAGGGAUAUCUGGCUCCAGGAAUAACAGAUUCUAUGGUACUCAGCUUCUUCAAAAUGGUGUAUAAUGCUGGUAUUUCACCGAAGAUUCAGGGUUGCAAAUCCUUGAGUUUUGUGUGGCCACAGCCACUACCUGGGAUUGUCCCAAGAGAAAUGUAACCAUAGACAUCCAGGUGAAUUAGGGAGAGUGCAAGUGAAGACAGUAUACUGGCAAGAAGUCUUGGAAAUGCUGAGGAAGCCAUGGAAUUGCUGGUCUUUUCAACUUUGUCAAAUUUUGAAGUUACCAUAAACAAUGAUAUUUCUGGUUCGUUUCCCUUUUUUGUAUUUUUUCUUGAAAUGUAUUUGUUAAAAUGAGAUGAUUAAAUCAUAAGCUAUAACAAACCCUCUAGCUCUUGUUAUAUACCGUCUGAUUGAACCAAUUCAUUACAUUAUGUCCUAUAAUACAUUUAAAAUUUCAAUUCAGUAAAUAUGCAAUAGUAUCUCAUACUUGUUUUAAGUUGUGUUUAUU
RNAcentral lists this long non-coding RNA (715 nucleotides) under Vulpes vulpes (red fox). Its description in RNAcentral is "lncRNA (ENSVVUG00000014532.1)". The record is from RNAcentral. Lineage: Eukaryota; Metazoa; Chordata; Mammalia; Carnivora; Canidae.